RNAcentral lists this ribosomal RNA (665 nucleotides) under uncultured bacterium. RNAcentral describes it as "bacterial SSU rRNA". It matches the Rfam family "Bacterial small subunit ribosomal RNA", at positions 847 to 1515 of the family's 1533-position model. The record is from RNAcentral.
CGUAGCUAACGCGUGAAGUCAGCCGCCUGGGGAGUACGGUCGCAAGAUUAAAACUCAAAGGAAUUGACGGGGACCCGCACAAGCGGUGGAUGAUGUGGAUUAAUUCGAUGCAACGCGAAAAACCUUACCUACCCUUGACAUGUCACUAACGAAGUAGAGAUACAUUAGGUGCCCGUAAGGGAAAGUGAACACAGGUGCUGCAUGGCUGUCGUCAGCUCGUGUCGUGAGAUGUUGGGUUAAGUCCCGCAACGAGCGCAACCCUUGUCUUUAGUUGCUACGCAAGAGCACUCUAAAGAGACUGCCGGUGACAAACCGGAGGAAGGUGGGGAUGACGUCAAGUCCUCAUGGCCCUUAUGGGUAGGGCUUCACACGUCAUACAAUGGUGCAUACAGAGGGUUGCCAACCCGCGAGGGGGAGCUAAUCUCAGAAAAUGCAUCGUAGUCCGGAUCGUAGUCUGCAACUCGACUACGUGAAGCUGGAAUCGCUAGUAAUCGCGGAUCAGAAUGUCGCGGUGAAUACGUUCCCGGGUCUUGUACACACCGCCCGUCAUACCAUGGGAGUGGGUUUUGCCAGAAGCCGUUAGCCUAACCGCAAGGAGGGCGACUGCCACGGCAGGGUUCAUGACUGGGGUAAAGUCGUAACAAGGUAGCCGUAUCGGAAGGUGC